RNAcentral lists this long non-coding RNA (219 nucleotides) under Lathyrus oleraceus (garden pea). RNAcentral's name for it is "Pisum sativum (pea) long non-coding RNA (PSAT_LNC017005)". The record is from RNAcentral. Lineage: Eukaryota; Viridiplantae; Streptophyta; Magnoliopsida; Fabales; Fabaceae.
GAAAAGGAAGAGAACAUUUCCCAGAAUACAUUUCCAAGAAUAUAUUUAUAAUCAUGCAAGCUAAAUCGACUCUUUGAAAGCUAUUCUCACUAGUUAUGUAUCAACAGAAAAUGUUUCUUCCGACAGUAACAAGUAACUGAUUUGCAGCUAUAAAUGCUUCAAACCUUAAACCUUAGUAGUAAUAAAUUCAAUGCCACAUAAACUUGUUUAUUAGUCAUG